CCCCUGCCGCGCUCUGCUCUAGUUCACCUCCGCCGCACUACUCCGCUGCCGUGUUAUGCUCCGGCUAUCCGCCGUCGCGCGCUGUGCUUCGUCUCGCCACCCAAAAUGCUCUGCUUUCGAUCCAAAGAAGCCAACGAGUCGCCGAAUAUGUCGUCGGCGAGGCCAUACAGGCGGAUACCGACCACCUUGAUGCUAAAAGCUCCCCCCUUUGAGCUCAAAUGAGGAGUACGGCGGCGGCGAUGUCCUAGAGCAGCACGAUUUGCGUUCUUUGGAUCUGGCCCUACCCGUCCGACGGCAGCGGCGUCCCUGCCGUAUUCCUCGCCCGCAGGUAUCCUUCGCAGGUAUGUUGUCCAGUAGAUGGAUGGAUUGAUGGGCGUGGCAGGUCCUCUUCCAUCUCCACCACCUCAAGAGCAGGGGAGGAGCCUGUGUGGCGAGCUAACCAACACCACACCUUGCAGCAACGAUCCAUCCACCACAGAGACUAGCCACCUACCAAACAUGCCAGGAGGCCCGAGUGUCAAAUCCAGAAAAGCUGGUGCUGGUGCUUUCCAUCCUAGGAAAGGGAUGCCCUGGAUUCAACCAGGUUGGCCUAUCAAUGGACGUCCCAAUGCAGCCCAAUGAGGAGGGGAUUGAAGUCAUGCCCGGACCAAUUCAUUGAUUCUUAGAAGAGUUCUAAAACUAGUAGAGCAAUUGUACUGUUUAUUGUAAGAUGUCUGAGACUAGUAGAGCAAGUGUACUGCUUAUUGUAAGACGUGUGAAACUAGUAGAGCAAGUGUAAAUGUCUGUAAAAAAUCAGUGUUGUAUCCUGUUUGAAUAUAAAGUGUACUGCUUAUUGCAAA
Molecule: long non-coding RNA, 839 nt
Organism: Hordeum vulgare subsp. vulgare (domesticated barley)
Lineage: Eukaryota; Viridiplantae; Streptophyta; Magnoliopsida; Poales; Poaceae
Exons: 2
Source: RefSeq, a predicted model, not a curated record